AAGGUGGAUAUAGUUUAACAAAAACAGUAGACUGUGGAUCUACAGACAAAGACCCUCGCCCUUUUGUUCACC
This 72-nucleotide transfer RNA is filed under the name Hemidactylus mabouia. RNAcentral's name for it is "tRNA-His". It matches the Rfam family "tRNA". From Rfam's summary of the family: Transfer RNA (tRNA) molecules are approximately 80 nucleotides in length. Their secondary structure includes four short double-helical elements and three loops (D, anti-codon, and T loops). The record is from RNAcentral. Lineage: Eukaryota; Metazoa; Chordata; Lepidosauria; Squamata; Gekkonidae.